UUCAUUUUAUUAUUUCUACUUAAGAAAAUUUCUAACUCCAUGAAGUAUAAUAGGAGACUUGUAUGUGCAUGUGGGUCUCCUCCAAUUGUGAGAAUUUCAUGGUCGGAUGACAAUCCUGGACAUAGAUUCCUCGAUUGUCUGCAUUAUGGUUCCCGAUUUCGAAUUAGUUGCAAUUUUUUGGAUUGGUAUGAUGCAGAAUUUCCACGUCAAGUCAAUAUUGUCAUUUUGGAUUUGUUGAAGAAGACCAACAAACAACAAAAAGAGUUGAAACGCAAAAAGAUGUUAAAACUAAUUUUGUUCAUUAGUUUGAUAUGUAAUGUGAUGAUGCUAAUUUACAUUUUGAGUCAUUGAUUGAUUAGCGUAUGUAAUGGUACUUUAAUUUGAUAAGAUUGUGUAUUUUGACGGAUAUGUUGUAUUUGUUUGCUGAUUAAAGCAAUAUAUUCUCAUUUCUUGGUUA
Long non-coding RNA from Capsicum annuum, 457 nucleotides. RefSeq lists it as uncharacterized. NCBI's taxonomy places the organism in Eukaryota, Viridiplantae, Streptophyta, Magnoliopsida, Solanales, Solanaceae. The transcript is spliced from 2 exons. The record is from RefSeq and is a predicted model, not a curated record.